UUAUUUAUUUAUUUUUUAUUUCAAGUGCAGUAGCUGUUCUUAUCAGUUUAAUACUUGAUACAUCCUGGAUGAGAGGACUUUAUAUUAAAUGGAUUUUUGGGCCAUGGGAGUUGGAUCCAGAGCUUGCUCCUUCCCCUCCACACAUUGUCUUGGUAUUGCAGUGCUUCCAGGAAUGGUGCACCAAGA
Molecule: small nuclear RNA, 186 nt
Organism: Pogoniulus pusillus (Red-fronted tinkerbird)
Lineage: Eukaryota; Metazoa; Chordata; Aves; Piciformes; Lybiidae
Product: U2 spliceosomal RNA
Exons: 1
Source: RefSeq, a predicted model, not a curated record